UGAAGAAAGUGCAGUGAAGACAGCUUGCUAAUUCUUUUCCAGUCAUUAGGCAAACUUCUCAGCAGUUUGGCAGUCAAAGUCACGAGGGAAGUCGAGCAGCGACAUCAUCCUGAGAGGUUGGAACUCUCAACGACACUCGAUAAGGGAAGAGCUGUGGACAGAUUUACAACGUGCCAACUACAGUAGUCCAGCACAGAACCUCCCAUUGGCAUAUUUCCCCAGGCCCUGGAAAUUAUUGAAGUUAAAAAUGAAGUGGCUGGAAUUGUAGAAGUUGACACUUCGGGUCAAACAACUCUCUGAGCCCAUCGCACUUAAUUUCUCAUGGGAGCAGACCGACUGUGAAGAGAUACUGUUACUAACGGGGCAGCAGGUGCCAACAGAUCGAAAUUAUU
Long non-coding RNA from Suricata suricatta (meerkat), 392 nucleotides. RefSeq lists it as uncharacterized. The transcript is spliced from 4 exons. The record is from RefSeq and is a predicted model, not a curated record. Lineage: Eukaryota; Metazoa; Chordata; Mammalia; Carnivora; Herpestidae.